AAUUGCCCAAUCCCAUACAGUCUAAGCCCCAAACCAGGUCACUGAUGACAGCCAUUAAUUAUCAGUGGGAGCCAACAUGUGAGAAAAGACCAUCAAGGGGAACCCAAGGGGGCAUCAACACGGUCACAUGAUUCAGGUGGAUCCCGAAACACAAACAACCGUUCUCCAGUGGCAGAGGCUGCCAUCCUGUAUUCCUCUGCUCUGCUGUGUAAGGUUUCACUCACUGUGUCCACAACCCUUUCUUUUGCAGUGCGACUGUGCUGAUAUGUAACUGUGUUUUCAGUCAUGGCUGAUUUACAAACAGGCUGUUGUGCUUUGGUAAAACUUUCCUCCUCUGCUUUCUCUUCCACCAGCAGCAGUGCAACAUCUCUGGGAAGCAGGAGGCGGGAUCUGGGGAGCAGUUUUUCCAUCAGACUUUGUCUCGUUUCCUGGAGUCUGAGAGAUUUGUAGGACAAAGGAGCUGUUGUUAGUGGGACUGGGGUGUUAAAGUGUUUACCUCAUGCAUGUGGUCCCUGCAGCCCAGGCUUGUAACUGAUGAAAGUAAUAUUACACAUCAACAAAGGA
Long non-coding RNA from Micropterus salmoides (largemouth bass), 564 nucleotides. RefSeq lists it as uncharacterized. NCBI's taxonomy places the organism in Eukaryota, Metazoa, Chordata, Actinopteri, Centrarchiformes, Centrarchidae. The record is from RefSeq and is a predicted model, not a curated record. The transcript is spliced from 2 exons.